Molecule: transfer RNA, 72 nt
Filed under: Planctomyces sp.
Lineage: Bacteria; Pseudomonadati; Planctomycetota; Planctomycetia; Planctomycetales; Planctomycetaceae
Description: tRNA-Gly
Rfam family: tRNA
About the family: Transfer RNA (tRNA) molecules are approximately 80 nucleotides in length. Their secondary structure includes four short double-helical elements and three loops (D, anti-codon, and T loops). Further hydrogen bonds mediate the characteristic L-shaped molecular structure. tRNAs have two regions of fundamental functional importance: the anti-codon, which is responsible for specific mRNA codon recognition, and the 3' end, to which the tRNAs corresponding amino acid is attached (by aminoacyl-tRNA synthetases). tRNAs cope with the degeneracy of the genetic code in two manners: having more than one tRNA (with a specific anti-codon) for a particular amino acid; and 'wobble' base-pairing, i.e. permitting non-standard base-pairing at the 3rd anti-codon position.
Source: RNAcentral
GUGCCCUUGGCCGAUCGGCAAAGGUGUCAGCCUUCCAAGCUGAACAGGUGGGUUCGAUUCCCACAGGGCACU